This 253-nucleotide ribosomal RNA is filed under the name uncultured bacterium. Its description in RNAcentral is "partial 16S ribosomal RNA". It matches the Rfam family "Bacterial small subunit ribosomal RNA", at positions 524 to 776 of the family's 1533-position model. The record is from RNAcentral.
UACGAAGGGUGCAAGCGUUACUCGGAAUUACUGGGCGUAAAGCGUGCGUAGGUGGUUCGUUAAGUCUGGUGUGAAAGCCCUGGGCUCAACCUGGGAAUGGCAUUGGAAACUGGCGACCUAGAGUGCGGUAGAGGGUAGUGGAAUUCCCGGUGUAGCAGUGAAAUGCGUAGAGAUCGGGAGGAACAUCUGUGGCGAAGGCGACUGCCUGGGCCAGCACUGACACUGAGGCACGAAAGCGUGGGGAGCAAACAGG